AGGCGCCCUAAACUCACACUGAAAGAAAAAUGGUGUAUCCUCAAGGAGGCAACUAGGCUGUAUGGGGCUUCCUGGGUCAGGGACAUCGGUCCAGAGCUCAGGCCGAAUGAUUACAAGAAGGCCAAAGAGGAAUCUGAUCCCAACAGCACCGAGGGGAAAACCAAAAGUGAACCUACUUUGCUUGAGGAUCUCGCGGUGGCAGCGAAGGGUGGGAACGAGACUCUGAAACCCGCACUGCGACGCAUAUACAUCACCCGUUCCUCAACCUACACAAGUGCAGUGAAGAACUAUGAGGAGACUUAUCAGGAAGGGCUGAAGGAUGUGUUGGAUGAGAAGGCAAGAAAGGGUCACCAGCAAGGCAAUGAGCCGAGGAGAUCAUCGACGUCGCCUCCACCCCCGCAAUCAUCAUCAUGA
Molecule: ribosomal RNA, 414 nt
Filed under: Triticum aestivum (bread wheat)
Lineage: Eukaryota; Viridiplantae; Streptophyta; Magnoliopsida; Poales; Poaceae
Description: partial small subunit ribosomal RNA
Source: RNAcentral